This 253-nucleotide ribosomal RNA is filed under the name uncultured bacterium. RNAcentral describes it as "partial 16S ribosomal RNA". It matches the Rfam family "Bacterial small subunit ribosomal RNA", at positions 524 to 776 of the family's 1533-position model. The record is from RNAcentral.
UACGAAGGGUGCAAGCGUUACUCGGAAUUACUGGGCGUAAAGCGUGCGUAGGUGGUUUCUUAAGUCUGCUGUGAAAGCCCCGGGCUCAACCUGGGAAUUGCAGUGGAUACUGGGGAGCUAGAGUGCGGUAGAGGGUAGUGGAAUUCCCGGUGUAGCGGUGAAAUGCGUAGAGAUCGGGAAGAACACCAGUGGCGAAGGCGGCUACCUGGACCAGCACUGACACUGAGUCACGAAAGCGUGGGGAGCAAACAGG